RNAcentral lists this long non-coding RNA (1179 nucleotides) under Cicer arietinum (chickpea). Its description in RNAcentral is "long non-coding RNA (CARI_LNC002905)". Lineage: Eukaryota; Viridiplantae; Streptophyta; Magnoliopsida; Fabales; Fabaceae. The record is from RNAcentral.
GAUGACAAAGACAAGUUGUAUAUUGCGUGCUUCCUUCGUUAUUACUUUCUCGUUAUUGUCCCUUUGCUUGCAAACUUCAUGUAACGGAGAACAUGAAAAAGCACUAAAUACACAAACAAGAGCACAUCUUAGCCAUCAAUUUCAUUUCUUAGAGACGAGGAAAAGGCUAUUGGAAGACAAUAAUAACCCAAUUCACAGUAGAAAGCUUGGAUCUUCAAUAAAAAAGAAAAAGAAGAAGAAAAAGAAGUACGGAAAAAAAUCAUCAGCGAACCAUAGGGGAAUGUCCAUAAACCACGCCAACUCAAUAUUUUGUAUUUCGCUUUUGGUUUCUUUCGUCCUCAUCAUCUAAGUUUACACACAGUGACACAAGGUCCUCCCUGCGCAUUGUGCAUUUUUUGGAUUCUGCAUCGCAAGUUUUUAUUUUAUUCUCGUGUUCGGUACAUUGUGCAUGUUUUGGAUUCUGCACAUAUUUGAGAGUUAUUUUAUACCAUCUUUGAAUUUUUUUUCCCAAUAUAUCCCUCUAUCAAAAAAUAUAUAUCAAUUUAUCCAUUUUUUGAUAUAGUAAAAGGUGAUCAUAUAUAAAAUAUAUAUAUAUAUAUAUAUAUAUAUAUAUAUAUUAUAGGAAAUCCACUGUUACAUAACGACUUAAUUUUGUGUAGUUUUUAUUUUAAUUAAUUUUUUUUUAACUAUAAAAGUCACCAUUUGAAAAAGAAACUUCAUACAUCCAUAUAAUUAUAUAAUUCAUUCAAAUUCAUUUAUAAAAAAUAACAAUAAAUAUUUUAUAAAAAUUACAUAAAUUAAUUAAAGUUUUUCAUUACAUUAGACAACCACCUAAACUACUUAAAAAAUCAAGACUCCACUAGUGACUCACAAUCACUAAAAUCAAGCCUUCACUAGUGACUCACAAUCACUAAUUUACUUUAUAGAUAAUUAAAAUUCGUCACACUUUAAAAACAUCCCUCUCGGGUUUUGGAAUCACUGGGAAUUUAUCCCAACCCUUAUUUACAUAUUUUCACAAACAAAAAGUGAUAAGCAGGGACUUGAUUGCGUACAGAGGGCUUUAUUUUUUCAUAUGUACUAUUAUAGUUCCUUUUGAACUUAUGUUGUAUUUUGCUUGUACCUUUAUGUUACAAAUUAACAUUGUAAUAUAUAUAUUAUUCUAUGACUUCACGAGUAAAU